Long non-coding RNA from Papaver somniferum (opium poppy), 3822 nucleotides. RefSeq lists it as uncharacterized. Lineage: Eukaryota; Viridiplantae; Streptophyta; Magnoliopsida; Ranunculales; Papaveraceae. The record is from RefSeq and is a predicted model, not a curated record. The transcript has 2 exons.
AUGAGAACUGUGUUCUUCUUAGGUUGUGUUCUUUGAACUGAUAGGCUUGAUUCUCACGAAUCAAGAGAGGUUUAUCCUCAAUUUAUCAUUCCAAUACUGUCAUUGUACUUAGGUACAUGACAAUUGGUAUCUAGAACCGUUUUUUCCUGAGAAAUCAUGAUUGAUGAGAUGAAUUUACAGGAGGAAAAAUGGGCAUAUAUGAAUGGGAAAUUGGUACCCAUAGUGAAGUUGGAACGACUAGCAACGGAGGAUUUAGACACUUGUCGAUGGUGGUAUCGGUUUUAGAUGGAAAAGAGUAUAUCUCCCGAUCGAGAGAAAUCCAUUCGGAAGUGGUCAAAAUUGAUGAACAAGACAUUGAAGAAGUUGACAUCAAUUAUGUUUAUUAGGUAUACUUCUUCAGCUCAUCAGCCUCCUUGCAGAGUGAAAGUCGCUGCAUCAGCUGUUGAUGAAUUUUCAUAAUUGAUUCCCACUUUUUUAUUUGAAUAAGUUUCAACUGUGGUUAGCUCAAUUCCUUCAGCUAUCGACGAAGAAGAGUAUUCUCUCAAUUCAGGGUUGAUUCCUUCAAUUUUCCUUGAUGGAAAGAAUGAUUUGUCUGUUGAUCAGAGUUUUCCGUUUGAUAAAGUGGCGAAAUCUGAUGUUUUCGAAGGAAAUAGGUUAAGUGAAUUCCAAAUUUGGGAAGUACAGCAGCUAAGAAACAAUGGCCUGACUGAACUAAUUGUGAGAAAUGGCGUCCAAAUUUUUUCUGAGGCCUAUGAAAAUGUUCACUGUUUGACCAAGUUACUCUUUCUCUACAACAAAUUUCUAGGAAUGGCUUGUUUUCACUUCCAACUUGAUGCUUAUCGCUUGUUUUCGAUCGGGGUAAGUCUGUUGUUCUCUCCUCAAACUCUAAUGGCAAUUUUCUUCGAUUGAUUAUUUACUUUGGGUAUAAACCAGAUUGUUCAUCUAUGCAAUCGAUUAAUCUUUUAUGUAUAAAUGAUGCCGAGGUUUAUGAUGAUAGGAAUUUGUUUGUUAAAAUGUAUGAGAGUAGUGUUGGAGUUGAUUUUCUCUUACAACUCAAAAUGGGUAGACUUUUUGAUCCUGGCAAAGAAUCAGAUAGUAUUAAGGAGUUUUCUAACUCAGUUGGUGAUUAUGAAUGUGGUUUUAUUACACCUACUCCUAUGAUUUUUUUCCUGUGUCGAUUUUAAGAGAAAGGUACAAUGGAAUUUUGGUUCUUGAGCUGUUACCAAGACAUGUGUAUCCGUUUGAUUCUCAGAUUCUGAAUUCCUUGGGUCUUAGAAUUCUCCAUGUUGCUGAAAUUGGUGGUGCAUGGAAUUUGUUUGCUGCGUUUUCAGAGGGAAAUAAAUUUUUGUUUCUUUUAUUGGUUAGAGUGGUGAGCUUUAACAUGGAACCUAAAUGGUUUUCUCAAGUGCUGAGUAUGAUGGGAGAAGAAAUUUUUUCUUACAACUCAAAUAUGGGUUGCUUCAGCUGAAGUAUGUUUUGCCUGAUGCAAUUUUUGGUUGUCAGUUUGAGUCCUUGGUUGUUGGUUUUAUUCGACUCCUUAAAGAAGUAUUUAACCCAGCAUAUACUUCAUCUAUCCUAUAUCAUGAGGUGCACCAGUCCAGGGUUAUCAUUGACCGACAAGACAGCAAUGUGCACCAGAUUCUUUUGAAAAAGUUUCGCAAAUUUCAGUGCUUAUAUUCUCAGUUCACACAUAUGUUAGGACUCGUUUAUAUCAUGCAAGAAUUGAUACUUUUCAGAAAUCUCCAUUACUUACUUCUGAAACAUUUUGGAGGUUUCUGAUUCAAGAGGGAGUUAUAACGACAGUUGGGCGUUUAAAGUGGAGUUAUCUGCAUACUUUUUGUCCUGUUGGGUAUUUUCAGAAUCAAGUUACCUAUAUACUGAUGUGGGUGGCCUUUUUGAAAUGGAAAUACAAAUUGUACUUUAGGGUCUUAUGGAGUGCACUGAAUGUUAGUGAGAGACAUUGUAAGAUGUUUGUGGGAGUUUACUUCUCUCUUUCCAGGCUUGUGAGCUCAUAUUGUACCUCAGCUGGCAAUGUUUUCUUACAAAAGCUUAAAGUUGAAGGUGUCAAGGUAUUUCUGAACUCUAUCAUAAGCACUGGUCCCUUCUACCUGCACUAUGCUCACUAUGAACUAUAUGGGUGUAUUCACCUGUGGAUUUCGAAGGGUGUGGGACAUCUGUGUAUGAGUUUGUUUUUGAAGGGGGGUACUAACUGGAGUUGGUGUUGGCAGCCUUGAUCAUGUUUUUAAUUGUGCUAUGGUUUAUUGAAUCUGAGAACAAUAGUAAUAGUGGUUUCUACUUGCUUGUGCUUUGGUCUCCAUCUGAAGUAUGUGGAAGACUGGCGACUCACGAGAGAAUUAUAUUGCAAGUUAUGCAGUCCCUUUGUAGUUCUUUGCAAGCAUUUUUCCCUACCUGGUAUUUUACUCCUUGCUGCAAGGACAUACCAGCUUUAUCCAACUUGGAUUCGAGUGAAUAUUACCCUGGUAUAUGGAAGUUUUUGUCAAAUGGUGAUUCUCAUAUCAAUGAGGUACUGGUAUUCACGCAUGUGAUGAGGAGAGUUUCUGUGAUUCUCGAGCACUUGUAGUUUAAUGGUUGGCUUACAGUCAAGGGUUACAUACGUAGUGAACUUUUGGGAGGUAGAAUAACGGUGGGGAACUUCGCUUAUCUCGUUGUAUCUGAAGUCAAGACUGUCUUUGCAACUGUGCCGGAGCUCAGGAAUCUUCCACCAAGGGUAGACAACACCGUACAAGUUCAGAGUGGAGCUUACGAAAAUUUCACAGAAGAGGAGCUCAAGGAAAUCCAAUUUCCUUAGUGUCAGGUACUCUUCGCAAUGAUGAUUCUGCCAUGAUUGAUUUUUGUCCUUGUGUUAUGAGCGACUUAUGUCCUGGUGCUACUAUAAACUUUUUUCUGUGGUGUAUCCACCACCAAAAGGAUUGUAUCCAGUUGGAGACUUCUGAAGGGUUAAAGAACAUUCAGUUCGGACUCGCGAUGUUUUAAGAUCCUACUGUGCUAAUGUUCGUGGUAUCCUUGGUGUGGGUUUUAUUGAGGAUAUACUUGAUAACAAAUGGUGAUACUAAUCUCACCUGUGUACUGAAGAUCUGUAUCCCAGUUCAAGGGUUUCUGCUAUAUAUACAUAUCAAGCUGGGAGUUGUGCAGAUUUAGUCAUUGUACCUUGCAGUUAAGUGGUCUGUGAGUUCCGGGUCAGAAUUGGAUUUAUGGUCAGAGGAACACAAGUUCAGUACACAUUGAAGUAGAGACUUCCAAGUUUCUCAUAGUAUUCAACUAUGUGCUACAUUUUUCCUUGGUAGACGAAGUCAUGAAGAUAAGGGGUAAUGAGCACUCAAGAGUUCACUCCACUGGUUCGUUUUCAGGGAGUAAUUACAACUUGGAGAUUCACAGGGAGUCUAAAAAGAGGGCAGUGGACGGCUGGGCUUUAUGUGAAGGUGUUUAUGGGCCUCACGUGGGUUUUCACUUUUCAGUGGCAUUGUAGGGUCGGGUCUUCUGAUGGAAUUUCUGAUGCGUGCCUCUCCAACUUUCAUAGUAAUUCACCCUACUAUCAUCCUUGAGGACAAAGAUGUUUCUGAGGGGAGUAGAAUGUCAUGUGUCCGAGGGUGCCCCAUAUCGUAUUUGCAUCUGUCCUUAGAAAUACUGGUACUUCAUAUAAUUAGUAGUUAAUUCUCAGUGUAACCGGCCGCUAUGAUGUGACCACCUGGAGCGUUGCUAGCUGUUAGAUAUUAGGUUAGAAGAGGGUUGCUAUAUUAGCAGAAGGUCUGUAAUUGAAACAUUAAGCAAAUUAUUAAUCAAAUUAGAACUGUGUUCUUCUUA